CCUACGGGAGGCAGCAGUGGGGAAUCUUGCGCAAUGGGCGAAAGCCUGACGCAGCCAUGCCGCGUGAAUGAUGAAGGUCUUAGGAUUGUAAAAUUCUUUCACCGGGGGACGAUAAUGACGGUACCCGGAGAAGAAGCCCCGGCUAACUUCGUGCCAGCAGCCGCGGUAAUACGAAGGGGGGCUAGCGUUGCUCGGAAUUACUGGGCGUAAAGGGAGCGUAGGCGGAUAGUUUAGUCAGAGGUGAAAGCCCAGGGCUCAACCUUGGAAUUGCCUUUGAUACUGGCUAUCUUGAGUAUGGGAGAGGUUAGCGGAACUCCGAGUGUAGAGGUGAAAUUCGUAGAUAUUCGGAAGAACACCAGUGGCGAAGGCGGCUAACUGGCCCAUUACUGACGCUGAGGCUCGAAAGCGUGGGGAGCAAACAGGAUUAGAUACCCUGGUAGUCCACGCCGUAAACGAUAGAGUGCUAGUUGUCGGCAUGCAUGCAUGUCGGUGACGCGAGCGUACGACAUAA
RNAcentral lists this ribosomal RNA (511 nucleotides) under uncultured bacterium. RNAcentral describes it as "bacterial SSU rRNA". It matches the Rfam family "Bacterial small subunit ribosomal RNA", at positions 338 to 863 of the family's 1533-position model. The record is from RNAcentral.